RNAcentral lists this ribosomal RNA (253 nucleotides) under uncultured microorganism. RNAcentral describes it as "partial 16S ribosomal RNA". It matches the Rfam family "Bacterial small subunit ribosomal RNA", at positions 524 to 776 of the family's 1533-position model. The record is from RNAcentral.
UACGGAAGGUGCUAACGUUAUCCGGAUUUACUGGGCGUAAAGCGUGCGUAGGCGGCUGUGUAAGCCAGUCGUGAAAUUUCUCGACUCAAUCGGGAAAAGCCGAUUGGAACUGCACAGCUAGAGUGCGGGAGAGGUGAGUGGAAUUCCCGGUGUAGCGGUGAAAUGCGUAGAUAUCGGGAAGAACACCAGUGGCGAAGGCGGCUCACUGGACCGCAACUGACGCUGAGGCACGAAAGCGUGGGGAGCGAACGGG